Ictidomys tridecemlineatus (thirteen-lined ground squirrel) is the source of this 102-nucleotide small nuclear RNA. The record is from Ensembl. NCBI's taxonomy places the organism in Eukaryota, Metazoa, Chordata, Mammalia, Rodentia, Sciuridae.
GUGUUCACUUUAGCAGCACAAAUAUUAACACUGAAAUACAAAGAAGAUUACAAUGGCCCCUGUGCAAGGAUCACAUAAAUUCAUGAAGUUGUCCACAAUUUU